UUUGCCUAGGUAUCUCCUUCACCUGCUCCCAGCCCUCUGAAAUUUAUUCCUCCGGAAGUACUAUCAACCUUAGAGAAGUUAACUUGUCCAAGAUCAAUCAACUGUAAAUGGCAGAGACAGAAUUCAAACUAAGCUCUGCUGACUUCAAAUCUUGCUCCUUUCACUGUCUUCCAGCCGAGUAGAAGAGAGCGGUCAGUGUAUACAGCAUUGUUCAGCUUGGGAGGGGAAGGACGAGGGAGUUUGCCUAGGAGUUUCCCUGUCUUUAUGAAGUCAGUGGCUAGAUCUUCUGCUGAGCUACUGUGGGGGAAUUUGAUAAGAAAUCACCCUGAUUGAAGCUUUUAUCCUGUUCUGAUAGAAAAUUCAAAGAAAUAAAAGCACUGGAAAGGGGAGACCCUUGGGGAGUAAAUGUACCACCAUCCAUGACAUUUUAUGUUGGGACCAAUCGAUUUAUCCAUUGGGUAUGUACUUUUACACUUAUCCUCAUAU
RNAcentral lists this long non-coding RNA (486 nucleotides) under Homo sapiens (human). RNAcentral describes it as "HSALNT0148592". Lineage: Eukaryota; Metazoa; Chordata; Mammalia; Primates; Hominidae. The record is from RNAcentral.